CUGAAAAAUCACAUCCCCAUGGUGAUGUAUUGAAAAUAGUAAACCAAUUGUCCAUCAGAUACAGAGAACCAAGUAUUUCUGGUGGUUGGUAGAAGAUUUCUCUUACUGUGUAGAGAGCUCAACUGUUUUCAGACUGUAUCAGUUGCUGACCAGGUUUUGCUUCUCAAGAGGAACCUGAAUUACAACAAUAUCCAAACAGGGGUCUUAUUUUAUUUAUAGUAAAGCUUGGCCUCCACUGUACUGUACCCUCACUGCCACAGCACAUAUGACUGUGCUCCCCAAGGAGACUGCUUCAGCCCUGCAAUUAGUAGCAUACCCAGGCUGUUAGCUGUAACUGGCACACCUAAAAGGGCCACCACCACCUGAAGGAGAGCAGGGAGCAGCCCGAGAGCCAUCCCUGAGCUGUUUGGGCCUGGGGAGCUGAGGAAGGCUGGGCUCAGCAGAGUCCUUCUGAAACAAUGCCAUGUCUGAAAGCAGAUUGCAGUUAUGGCUGGCCAUGGUUAGCUAGCCACAGCAGGGAGGUGAGGGAGCCUGAGGCUGCUGCAAGUGUUUUGAAAGCUCUGGAAGAAGUGAUCCUCCCAAAGAGCUUUCUAGUGGGAAGAGUCCUGUUCACAGGAUGCCCUCAGGAGAGAAAGUGCUUGCAUUGUGUGGAGUUGCAUGUGGGUGAAGAAAAGAUCAUCCUGAAAUCCACAAAACUUGUGGCUUUAUUUAGAAAAAUGGACAAUAAGCAUUUGCCUAAUGACCAAAAGAGAGAGAGAGUUUAUCCUAUCUCCUGAUCACAGUAAUUUCUGAAUUUGAUACUGCGUUUAGAAGUGUAUCUAUUUGCUUUUUGACUCUUUGUUCUUUUUGAGAAGAUGGAGAAGAGUGGUGCCCAAAAUAACCCUUCCCUUCCUGUAUGAUACUGUGUACAAAUGUUGUAACACUUAUGAUGACUAUUAAUACCCCUGAGGUUAAACCUACACUGCCUUCAGCUGGUAAAACCAGGGCAUCAGGAGGCACAAAACGGAGCACAGCUGAAGUUGCCUGGGGCAAGAACAGGUGACUGGAAUCUGGCUGUAAUGAGUUAUUUAACAGAGCCUACAGCUGAAUGAGGUUUUUUGUUGAUGGGAAGAACAGACUUCUGGGUACAAGUCAAGUACAUGUCCUUAUGGACGCCAGUUCUGGGAAGAAGUAUAAAGUAAUGCUGAAGGUUGCUGAUGUUGUGUUAAGCUUCUUGCUGAGGCUAUCGAUGUGCCAGGGAGGUAUGGUAGCAGAGAGUUGCUUGGCCAGGCAGCAGAAGCAGUUAUACAGCAAGGAUGGUGGCAGUUGCUGCUGGGGUGUAUGAAGCAGGAUGAGUAGUGCUCAUCUGAUCUACCUGUUUUGGCUGGAGAGAUGCACUGCGGAGCCUGCUGCCCCCACCUAGGCCAGGAGCUGAGAGGCUUAAAGAGCAGGGAAAUAAGUUGGGUCUUCCUUUUGAAAGAAAACUGUCACCCCUGAAGUACAAAAUCGGCUUCAGUUGGGACAGGACUGACCCACCAAUCUCUGAGCAUGAGUAAUGUGGGGGAGCAGUGGAUUUUCUGAGCACUGCUCAGAAAACUGCUUGGUGUUGCCUAUUAAAAGAAGAUUAUGCUCAAAAACUUGAAAAGCCAACCUCCCCCAGCAGCAGUGCCAGCAGCUGGUAGUGCUGGUGGACAUGCCAGACUGUGGGGUGGUACAGGGGGAGGCAGGAAGGGCACAGGGCAUGUGAAGGCUCUCAGACUUGAGCACAUGAAAAGGCGCUUUCAAAUCUUCCCUUUUGAAUAUAGAAAGGUAGAGCAGUAGGAGUUGUUUGAAAGUGAAUAUGCCACUUCCAACAUAAAGUUUUUGUAACUUUGGUUUAAUGAUGUGUAUCAGAGAGAGAAUCCUGGGAGCAACAUUCAGGCCAGCACAAGGCCACAGACUGCAUGAAGCAGCCACUCCCACCUGGUCUGUUUCAGGCCCUGGCUCUGGAUGAGAUUGGGAAGACGCUGAGAUGAAUAUCGGGAUGUGCUCAGUGUUUGCAAGUGACACUGGGUCCCUGGUAUGAGGCAGUAUGGCAGGUGACACGCCAUUUCUUGAAACCUGGUGGUGUCUACAGGCACACACAAAAGAAUGUUAAUAAAAAUGCAAUUGUUGUACAUGUUAUUGCAUAAAAUGUAUAUUCUUAAAUUUGCAUAGAGCUAUUUGAGUCUGUACAUAAGUCACUCCAGAGAGAUUCAGCAAAAUAAAGCAAAGUGAGAGGGAGAGAGAGGACUUUGUGCUGUUGCUCUGGUGCCAUGCUCACACUUGCCAGCCCGAAAUCAGGUGGUCAGCAGACGAGGCUGUGCACAGCACUUAAAAACCCCAGUGAGAAAGAAUAUGUGUGUAUGAAGGGUUAAUGUGUCUGGCAUCACAAACCCUCUCUUCCCAAUUUUUUUUGUUGACACGGCUAGGAAAGGUAUGGACUCGUAGAAGGACUAACAUGAAAAAACUUCCAUUACCUAGAGCUUCAGAUUUUGAAACCAUACCACAAAAUCAAAUGUACAGGGUUUACACCACAGAGCUGGUAUUGGUACUUUUAUGGGCAGGGAAAUGAGUGUGCUUGUGGUCAGACACUGAAUUGCAUGAUGUCAAUAUAGUUUCUGUAUAGGUAAGGAUUUUUCCAACAGGCAUAAUUAAAAAGUAGUCUAACAGAAUAUUUAGGGUUUUCUUUGCAUUGAAUUGUGCUAAUUUGGAAGAAAAUACUCAGCAGUUGCUGCUGGGGAAUACAAGCUUCUGGAAUGGAGGCAGUUGCAGUGAUUCUUGUAUAUCAUUAAAUCAUGAAUAAACUUAGAAACUGUGUUAUUCAAGCAACUGCUUCUAUAUUGGAAAUGUAAAUCACAAUGCCAAAUUUUAUUUAACUUUAUGCAAAAAUUGGCAUGCACAGAAUCAGUUUUCUACUCCAUGAUGAUUUAUACUCAAUAACAAGUCAUUUUUUCCAGCAGAAAUCUCCAAAAAUUCUGGGCCAAGUAUAAUAUAUAGUGCUGUUGUACUGGCAUUUCCCACAAGAACCAGUAAGCUGUGCGUUCUCCAAAUAGUCACAGCAGAGAACUAGGAUGCAAAAAAUAUUCUCUAAGAAUUUUGUAUUAAAAAGGAUUUUUAUACCUCAUGCUGUACUUCCUUUUGGUCAUUUUGAGGAAGGGUUGACAGUAUGAUGAAUAAAAAAGUUCAGGGCUCAUAUAUAGGAGGAAACUAGAAAUGCUAUAUUGUGGGAGAACCCUAACACCUUUUGCUAAAUAGUAGUUUAUUAGAAAGUCUUUUUUUUAUUUCUAGUCAGGCUUUUUUAGGCUAGUUGUAGUGCAUUAAAAUGGGGGGUGGAGGGGACAGCUUUGUGUGCCAGUCACCCUGUAGCAGGAGUCAGAUGUGCUUCUACUGUCGUGUAGAUGAGGUCCUUAGUGACAUGGUUUAGUGGUGGACCUGGCAGUCUGGGGUAAAAGUUGGACCUCAUGAUCUUAAAGGUCUUUUUCAGUCUAGCUGAUUCCGUGAUACUGCAUGUGCUGCUUCCUUAUUAAAACCAGUGAGGAAGAAUUUUUUUAGUCAAUACAUGGUUUCAUUCCGUGUUUGGACCCUAAGGCUUGUCAGGUAUGCUCACCUUUUGCAAUAUUAUCAAAAGGGAAAAGGACCCUGGUUUUUGCUCGUAGGCAGAUGAAGGCAUGUAACUCUCAAGAUGAUUCUGCUCUGAAUUAAAAUGCUUUGUGUAAUUGUCUAAGUAUUUAAAGUUGUCUGCUGAGGAUAAUAGUAUGUACUUGAUUAGAUUUAUUUGGCAUGAGCUUUUGAUUUGGAUUCUCCAGGAGAACAGAUCUGAAAGUGGUGCUUGGCAGCAGGGCUGACUCCUCUGUGUGGGGAUUGCUCCCUGUCUGCCUGCAGACUGCUCUUAAUAAAAUGAUCCACCUAAUACAUGUUGUCCUUUGUUACUUGGAGCUCCUCACAGCUGGAGAAGCACAUCAAACAGUUACAAGAGCUUUGUUUUCUUGGAGCAGCUGAAAUACUAGGUAACGACUUCAGAAGUGAUGGUUUUACACUCUGGAGAUAAACACACAGCUGCCACUUCGUUGGGGUUACUGUACUUCAUGAAAAGGUUUUGUUUUCUAAGCCAGAUCCUGUGCUUCAGUCUGCACCCUGUGCACUGCUUACACCUUACACCUGCCUGUGCACCAAACCCUGCUCUGUGAGGUGAGCAGGCAGCAUGUCCGAGUGAAGGAUUUGGCUGCCCAAAGGUGCGCAGUGAUGCUGGGGUGGAUGCCCUUGAGUGUCUGAGACAGGUCUGGUGGUAUGAUGUGAACCUACAGGAAGGCUGCUCCUGCCCCGGAGACUGGAGUGUCUCCAGUGGCAUGUAAGUGUUCAGGCAACUGAAUCAUUCUUCUCAUUUCCAGCAGUUAAAAUGAUGUUAUCUGAAAGUAACCCAAUCCUCCUCCUCGGUAUGAAGAGCCACUCCAGACAGAGACUGUUGGCUCUGCUUAACAGGAACAGUUGCAUUUCAGUUAAUUUAAACUAACACAUGGGCUCAGGACUCCUCAUUAAAGCUCAGAGCAGCGUGAAUGUGUGGGUGAGAGAAGAGCCAGAAAGCCAGUGUGGUUCACUUGGGCUUGAUCCUCCUGUUGCUCAAGACAAAAAUU
Pezoporus occidentalis (night parrot) is the source of this 4631-nucleotide long non-coding RNA. RefSeq lists it as uncharacterized. The transcript has 3 exons. The record is from RefSeq and is a predicted model, not a curated record. NCBI's taxonomy places the organism in Eukaryota, Metazoa, Chordata, Aves, Psittaciformes, Psittacidae.